RNAcentral lists this long non-coding RNA (228 nucleotides) under Elaeis guineensis (African oil palm). RNAcentral's name for it is "long non-coding RNA (EGUI_LNC014946)". The record is from RNAcentral. Lineage: Eukaryota; Viridiplantae; Streptophyta; Magnoliopsida; Arecales; Arecaceae.
UGCAAGCAUGGAAACAGGAAGUAAAUCAUAUUGAAAAGUUAUUCAAGAAUAUAUAGAUAUGUAUGUGUGUCCAAUUUGGAUUGAUGAUUAUUUUGAUUUGAAAAUGCUUUCGAGCCAGCUUUUCAGUAUAUGUAAUUCAACUUUCCAGCAUAAGCAUGACCAUUAUCAUGUCAUACAGCAUAAAGACAGUUGGCACCUUCUUGUGAAAUAUUAUGCCCAGUGGCGCUC